Molecule: long non-coding RNA, 407 nt
Organism: Nothoprocta perdicaria
Lineage: Eukaryota; Metazoa; Chordata; Aves; Tinamiformes; Tinamidae
Exons: 4
Source: RefSeq, a predicted model, not a curated record
CAUGUGGGAAGCGGGAUCUCUCCAAACACAGCCCAGGGMCUUUCCUCCAAGAUGAAGCUCCAGGAUCUCAGAUGCUGCUGUAGGAAGUUUUAUCCAAAACUCUCCACUCUGAAACAUUGCCCUACUAAGGCUUGGAGAAACCAGCGUGAUAGACUGCACAAACCCUCUUAAAUCUAUUUUUAAUCAGAAGGGUUUGCAGGUUAAAAUAAAUAUGAUGGAGCCAGUGGCCAAUUUGGAACAUGGGACUGUUCCAGCUCAGCAUUCCGCUGGUCUUCGAGCUCUGCGUGCGGUUCUCCGGCUAUGGGAGCGUUGCUUUCAUUUAUCACACUCCCAAACUUCCACUCUGGAGCAGUAACAAACAGCUUUCACAGCCCCAGAGAGGGACGUGUCCAUCCCCAGAGCGAGCC